CCUGACCUUGCUUAUCACCGAGAGGCAGCAGAAGCACUGCCUGGCCUUCAGCCCCAAGACCAUAGCAGGCAUCGCCUCAGCUGUGAUCCUCUUUGUUGCUGUGGUUGCCACCACCAUCUGCUGCUUCCUCUGUUCCUGUUGCUACCUGUACCGCCGGCGCCAGCAGCUCCAGAGCCCAUUUGAAGGCCAGGAGAUUCCAAUGACAGGCAUCCCAGUGCAGCCAGUAUACCCAUACCCCCAGGACCCCAAAGCUGGCCCUGCACCCCCACAGCCUGGCUUCAUAUACCCACCUAGUGGUCCUGCUCCCCAAUAUCCACUCUACCCAGCUGGGCCCCCAGUCUACAACCCUGCAGCUCCUCCUCCCUAUAUGCCACCACAGCCCUCUUACCCGGGAGCCUGAGGAACCAGCCAUGUCUCUGCUGCCCCUUCAGUGAUGCCAACCUUGGGAGAUGCCCUCAUCCUGUACCUGCAUCUGGUCCUGGGGGUGGCAGGAGUCCUCCAGCCACCAGGCCCCAGACCAAGCCAAGCCCUGGGCCCUACUGGGGACAGAGCCCCAGGGAAGUGGAACAGGAGCUGAACUAGAACUAUGAGGGGUUGGGGGGAGGGCUUGGAAUUAUGGGCUAUUUUUACUGGGGGCAAGGGAGGGAGAUGACAGCCUGGGUCACAGUGCCUGUUUUCAAAUAGUCCCUCUGCUCCCAAGAUCCCAGCCAGGAAGGCUGGGGCCCUACUGUUUGUCCCCUCUGGGCUGGGGUGGGGGGAGGGAGGAGGUUCCGUCAGCAGCUGGCAGUAGCCCUCCUCUCUGGCUGCCCCACUGGCCACAUCUCUGGCCUGCUAGAUUAAAGCUGUAAAGACAUAACUCAUAUCAGUCGCAUCAUUGGACCCAUCCACACCUUCCAGGAACACCGCCUUCAGCUGGGCCCAGACUGUUGCCCACUCCAUAUUCCAAAAGUAGGGGAGGGCCAGCACCAGCAUCGGAGCACAGCACCAUCCUCACCCCCAUCCACAAGCAGACCAAGGCGGACUGUUCCUGGCUUCCUAAAGGCUUCCUAAAGACAAUGAGGUACUCCAGCCCCACUGCAGCCUCAGGCUUUGCUCUCCUGCCCUGCCCGCUCAGACCUCUGGGAUCCUGCAGCCCAGCUGGGUUCUGGAUAUGGCCGUUGUGCUGACCAUGCCCCCAGGGCCUUCUGCCACCCACAUACUCUUGAGGAUUAUCUCUUGUCACGCAGCCUGGAAGAUGUGUCGCUGGUUGUGGAAGCGGAGCUCGGUCAGCGUGUUGUUCUGGAGGAGGGCCCGGAAGAUGGCCAGGAUGCCUUUGCCUGUGAUGUGGUUGGAGUCCAGGUUGAGGCUGGUGAUGGUCUUGUUGGCCUUGAGCAUGAUGGCAAUGGCAAAGGCCACGUGGUCAUCGGCUCGCGUGUUGGCCAAGGCGAACAGCUUAACCACAGUGUUGAACUCCAGAGCCUCAGUAAACCGGACCAAGA
This 1478-nucleotide long non-coding RNA is filed under the name Homo sapiens (human). RNAcentral describes it as "long non-coding RNA NONHSAT150319.1". Lineage: Eukaryota; Metazoa; Chordata; Mammalia; Primates; Hominidae. The record is from RNAcentral.